AGUGAACGCUGGCGGUAGGCCUAACACAUGCAAGUCGAACGGCAGCACAGUAAGAGCUUGCUCUUACGGGUGGCGAGUGGCGGACGGGUGAGGAAUACAUCGGCAUCUACUUUUUCGUGGGUGAUAACGUAGGGCAACUUACGCUAAUACCGCAUACGACCUACGGGUGAAAGCAGGGGAUCUUCGGACCUUGCGCGAUUGAAUGAGCCGAUGUCGGAUUAGCUAGUUGGCGGGGUAAAGGCCCACCAAGGCGACGAUCCGUAGCUGGUCUGAGAGGAUGAUCGGCCACACUGGAACUGAGACACGGUCCAGACUCCUACGGGAGGCAGCAGUGGGGAAUAUUGGACAAUGGGCGCAAGCCUGAUCCAGCCAUACCGCGUGGGUGAAGAAGGCCUUCGGGUUGUAAAGCCCUUUUGUUGGGAAAGAAAAGCAGCAGGUUAAUACCCCGCUGUUCUGACGGUACCCAAAGAAUAAGCACCGGCUAACUUCGUG
Molecule: ribosomal RNA, 492 nt
Filed under: uncultured bacterium
Lineage: Bacteria
Description: partial 16S ribosomal RNA
Rfam family: Bacterial small subunit ribosomal RNA
Source: RNAcentral